UACAGAGGUGGCAAGCGUUGUUCGGAAUUACUGGGCGUAAAGGGCGCGUAGGCGGCCUUCUAAGUCAGACGUGAAAUCCCCCGGCUUAACCUGGGAACUGCGUCUGAUACUGGAGGGCUUGAGUGCGGGAGAGGGAUGUGGAAUUCCAGGUGUAGCGGUGAAAUGCGUAGAUAUCUGGAGGAACACCGGUGGCGAAGGCGGCAUCCUGGACCGAUACUGACGCUGAGGAGCGAAAGCCAGGGGAGCAAACGGG
This 253-nucleotide ribosomal RNA is filed under the name uncultured bacterium. RNAcentral's name for it is "partial 16S ribosomal RNA". It matches the Rfam family "Bacterial small subunit ribosomal RNA", at positions 524 to 776 of the family's 1533-position model. The record is from RNAcentral.